Molecule: long non-coding RNA, 8195 nt
Organism: Syngnathus typhle (broad-nosed pipefish)
Lineage: Eukaryota; Metazoa; Chordata; Actinopteri; Syngnathiformes; Syngnathidae
Exons: 2
Source: RefSeq, a predicted model, not a curated record
AAGCUGUGCAAAGCUGUCAGCCAAUACAAACCUCAUCCGGUUGGAGCUGUGCAGCCUCCUGGAGUAUUUUGCAUAGGGGAAGUGGCAGAAAGGGGAAACGUUUCAUCCAACAUGCAGCCUCCUGAUAAUAAGUCGACAUGCUGACUGUGCAGAAUGUCUGCAGAGGCUUGGGGCUGCAGAGUUUUACAAUAGGAAAGAGCCAGAGCAACAAACCGGAGUGGCCUCGUGUAAUCAAUAACGCUAUACAUUUCCCACUUUUCCAGACUAGGGGUUGUCAGUGCGGAUUCCACAGACGUGCAUUAUCACAGCAUGUUUGCAGACCGUCCACGCUAGGGAAUCGGUUAUAUGCUCGCAAAAUGGGUCUUGUAAAACCUUACAGUCGACCUCAAGGUAACAAGGUGGAGCACCCUAACCCCCUCCAUACCUCCAAGCACUAUGCACCCCCACCGCCACCACCAUCAUCAUCGUCGUGUCGUCGUCACUGGAGCACAUGGAAUCCCGUUAUGCUUAUGCACUAUUUUUUGUGUCACGAGACACGCAAGAGAACACAUGCUGUAUCUUUGGAAUUGCUCCCAAAAUUAAGUGCAAGCCAUCUGAAGUCGUGUGUGUUAAUCUCGUUGUCAUGCAGGACUCCUCCAGCUGGACAUCAGAAGAAUUGCAUAUGUUUGCUUUCUGGCUGGUCGGUACGCCGUUUACGUGCUUAAAAAAUUAUAAUGAUUUUAUUAUAAACAUGUAUUGAGCUAUAAUAUAUUCAUAGUUAAAGGGAGAGUGCGAGCGUAUUUUUUUUAUAAUAAAAAUAUAUCUUUAUAUUUAUAAUGAAGACAAAUAUAAUUAAACUACCGAAUUUUGAAAAUAUCUUUUAUUAUUAAUAAUUCUUGUCACAAUGUUCAAAAGGCAGUAUUUCCAUCAGAAUUAUUUUUUUUAUAUUAUCAUAAGCAAACUGAUCUUCAAAUUCUAUAUUUUAAUAACGUAAAAUGUUGCCUAAAUGUUGAUUGUUUUCUAGCUGUUUUAUUUAAUUAACUAAUGUUUUUAAAUAGGUGUUUAGAUGGAAAAAAACACACCAAAUCAUCUGGCGUGAUGGCGCAAUUUUGGUUUUAAUGAUGUGUGUGGCCUUGCAUGGUUUUAAUAAUUUCGAAAACAUGUACAGUGGCAUAAAUAAGCAGAUGGUCAUUUUUAUUUAGCGACAUUACAUUUACCACUUAUUGUGCACGUGAAUAGUUUCACUUUGCUACAUGAACUUUCAAAAUACAAGCUGCAAAUCUAAAUAUAAUAUCCGAAACUAAAUUACAAUAGAGAACGGUUCCCCUUGGCAGUUUAAAUAAAAGUUAUUGAACACUGCGCCAAUACCUUUCGCCCAAAAAAACAGAACAAUUUCCUUUUAUGUUGAAUGGUGUUGCGCUAAAAGAAAUCUCGCAUAAAACGAAAGAAAAAUACUUUAUUCAUAACCACCAAAAUAUAGUUUUUUUUAGGGUCGACCGCAAAAUGAAAACCGCGUGAAUGUCACUUUACUAACAGAAUUAAAAGCAUGAGAAUGGAAGUGGUUCAGAAAACGGAUGGAUCGUAUUUUGUAGCGUUUUAAUGGAAAAAGAGGGCAGCAACGUUACUGAUCAUUUAAUUAAACGGCUCCCUUUUGUUCAAAAAAAAUGUAGAGCGAGAUUCUAGAUAGCUUAAUAGUAAUUAAAAGUUUCACAAAAUGUUCUAAUUUUUUGUUUUUGAUGUCCCGCGACCCCCGUGGAGACAAGCGGUAUAGAAAAUUGAUGGAUGAAUGGGUUUUUGAUGUGAGGAUAUUAUGAGUGUAUAAUCAAUAAGCAUAAAACAUAAAAAAAAAAAAAAAAGGUGUUUGCUGAACAAACUUGGUCACCACCUGACACCAGCAAGGUGCAAUAAUUCCCCCACCCUUCCCUCCCAAACCCCCUCAGUAAAUAUUGGUGUUGGUUUAGUGUGUCAUCCAAGGAUUCCUUUCUUGAAUGUAUUUCGUCUUUAAAUACCCAUUAAGUUAUAUUUUAUUGUGUCAGAGUGAUAUUGCCCAUCCCCUCCCCACCCCCACCCCCCUUCAGUGAGCUAGAAAUAUUACCUGGACGAUGUGCUUUAUAUACAUUUAAACACUGACUUUUCAAAUCAGAUUUGCCUCGGACUUUAAUUGUUUAAAUGCAAACAACAGAACAUUUCAGAACGUAGCGUUGCUCAUAUUUCGGGGUAAGCCCAACCAAUUUACUGCAAUGCAGCCCCCCUUACUUCAGCCCAACCGUCAUGUAUUCGAGGUGAUGAUAUCUGCUUUUGAGUUUUUGCUAAAAUGGAGGCUAGGGGACAGCAAGCUGACUUCUUUUAUAGGCCCAAGCGCCACUUUGGGCUGUCGAACACGCCUAAUGAGGGUGUGCAGCGGUGCCAUGUGAGACAUGCCCGUUUUUACCAGGCUGGGUAAUAGCUUGUGACCUUCAAUAAACACGUCUCAUAUUUCUUCAUAUGUUCUCAGUAUUUACAUCUAAUUGUUACAUUAAGUUCUGUUUCCACAAUCUGCGACUUUUGUCAUUUAUACAGGAAAUAAUUAAGUCAUAGUUAAGUAGUGGAUGUUUGCACUUUCUUUUUUAUUUGCUCUUCUACCUGAACACAAUUUACUUGGAGGCAAGAGUGUUUCCUGUUAAUGCCACAUUAUAUUUUAUUCACCUUUCCGCUUGUGCCACGAAACUAACUCAAAAGCAGUUUUAUCCUGUUUAGCCUCCAAUUGUUCUCCUUUAUUGGUUAUUUGUGUUACAUAACAUUUGCUACUUUGGCACUUUAGAGACAAAUCUGACUUUGAUUUAAUUGGUAAUGUACUAUCACAAUGUUAUUUAUUUAUUUAUUUAUUUAUUUAUUUAUUUAUUUAUUUAUUUAUUUAUUUAUUUAUUUAUUUAUUUAUUUAUUUAUUUAUUUAUUUAUUUAUUUAUUUAUUUAUUUAUUUAUUUAUUUAUUUAUUUAUUUAUUUAUUUAUUUAUUACUUUUAUUUUUUUAUAUCUAUUUUUCAUUUCUGUCGCUUCUUAGCAUUCACAUGCUGUGCUUCCUCAUGGCCCCAAAAGUGAUGUUAACUUGCACUGCAAAACUUCAGGAAGAACAGGUGUGGUGUCCCCAUUUGUUUUUAGAUGUGUUAUCCUGAACAGAUAAAGGAGAACUUGCACUACCACAAUAGGUUACAAUCAGGUCUGGGCAGUAAGUGUCACAGUUGGUCCAGAACAGUGUAUGUGUUUGCUUUCAGAAAACAAAGAUAGCAGCCAAGAUACGGAAAAAUAACUUCAUGAGGAUUUGAUUUGAAAUUCUAUUUUAGUCCAAAAUUGACUUUUUUUUUCCCACCACAAGAUGAGAGUCGGUAACUUUUGCUAAAACACAAAGAUGUCAGUGGCUAGAAUACCAUGCAACAAAAGGAUAAUGUUUUUCUGGCAUUUUGAAAUAACUUUCGUAACAUUCAUUAAUUGAAUAUAGUGAUCAUUAAUCCGCAAAUCUCUUGAAGGCCUAUACUUUGAAAGUACUUCAAUAUUUAAUAUCAUUAAUAUGAGUGCACAGUGCUUCUCAUGUGAGAGCCAUGUUAGAAAAUAAUAAAAUGUUGACAAUAACAAUAAUGUCAAUGCUACUUCGGAGAUCUGACACAGUACGUGUGGUGUUGUUCAGUGUCUAUUAUAGCUUAAUUGUUUACCAUUCAGUGUUGUGUGAUGUUUAUUUUCAUUUUAUAUUCCAAGCUAUUUAAUGCUAUUUCAGUCCGUUUUUUCCUCAUUCAUAUUGACGUCAGCAAUCAAAUUGAUGUUGAAGUCCUUUGGAUAUUUCUUUUUGCAAACUAUACUUCUAUUUAGAGUGGGCUCGGUAAUUAAGAAGGGUGGUUUUGGGUGGGUCGAGCUGCUACAUGGUGAAUCAAGAUAAUGGCACUUUUUUUUUCCCAGCUCAAGCCUCUUGUCUAAACAUGGCAAACGAAAAACGCCCAAACCUGAUUUUCAAACUGCAGUUAGCAAUCCAUCCCAUGUUCUCAACAGAAUUUAAUUGAACUCUUCAAAUUGUUGUGACUUACUCAAAUGAGAAUCUCUAAUGCCGUUAUAGAUUGAUUUAUAUUGAACAAAAUAAUCUUAUCUUUGUGAACUGUUUUUGAUGUUGUUAUCGAAACCAGAUUGUUUCGUUGAAGAACUUUAGAGGGACUUGUACAGGUUAUAAUAAAUAAAAAAAAAUGGUGAAUGCACGGUGGGAAGCAUUGUCUUCAGCUGGUUGAAGUCGAAAGUUUGUAAUGGUUGCGUGCACAUUUGAGUCCGUCUAUAGUUGUCUGUUGUUAGCUUGUGCAACUUUGCUGGUCUGUUACCAAUUAGUGGAGGAACCUAAUUACUUUGGGAGCACUUCAGACUUCAUCUACAGCUGCUGCUGAUUCAUGCGUGUUCUGCUUGGAUAUCAGCCACAGACUUAAAAAUUGUAGGUCACACAUGGUUGUUGACAUAAGCCUUGUACACAAUCUUCAUUUCACGUCUGCUCUGAUGUUUAACAUUAACUUUUGACUUUCAGCUCCGUACCUUUUUUUUCUUAUUUACGCUUUGUGCCGUCCUUCAGGUGAAAUUUCUCUCCAUCUUCGGUUUCACGACUCAAAUGCAGCUUUGACACAUCUAAUAACAGGCUUGCCUUCAUUUGUGGACUUUAAACUGAAAAUGCAAAUUGUGUGUCAUGAAUUGCUGCAAGACUGUGUCUUUAAGAAUCCUGAAUCCAUUAUGGAGGAAUCUGGAAAGGGCUAUUCAAGGCCUUCUAUCAGAGGCAGUGUGAUAUUGUUUUCCGCCAAACCAGAAAUCAAGGACUUGGAAAAAUCUUCUUUAUGUCAGGAAUAGGGGUAAUGUAUUUGCUCUGACAGCUGCUGCUUUUAAGAUUAAUAGCCUUAUGAAAACCGGGUGUCUUCUUCCCAAAACCAGGCCCUUUAUCAUUCAGUGAGACCUCCUCACAGAGCCAAAAUUAAAGUCACAACACAGGGGAACUGUGUGUUUGUGUGCGCGCAGACCUUGGUUGCCAAGUAUCAUGUCUUUUUUCAUCAAUACUGAAUUAACUCAGUCCUACUCUCUCAGAGUCCGUUUAAGACUUUCUACUUUUUCAACUCAUGUAUUUGUCAAUGUUGAUCUUGGAGUCAGGGCCAGUGGAGGUCACCCAGGAAUCGAGUGAGCAGGAUCUGGAUGUCAAGGCAUCUCAAAUGAAUCUUCUUUCUGCAGCAUAACGAGACAAGUUUUUUUUUGCUUCCGACUCGGUGGCAGGAUGCUUUUUUGGACAAUGUUGACAGUGGCACAAGACACAAAGCAACAUCCAUAAAAGCACACUUGGAUGUGGCUGGUGAGGAAGAACUUGAGCCACCAAACACUUUUUACGAUGACCCAAAACAAAGACAAAAAUCCAUCUGAGACCAACAGCAGGAUUUUUUUUCUUCAUAAUCUCCACUUCCAGUGUUGGUAUUUCCUAAAUCUCAAAACGAAAUAAUAGUCAUCAUGACUUCUCUCCUGGUGGCCCACAGAGAUCUGGCCUUGUACUAUGACCUCACUGAACCACAUGCUCAUAAAUACGCUCCCUUAUUUCUACCCUUGCGUGCUUGCCAGUUAGGGCGAGAAGUGGGUUUGUUUUGGGUGUCCUGUGUAUAUUCCCGCAAUAGCCGUGCUUUCAGGACGUCCUGAAUCACACACACUCUGUAUUCCUUGCCUGUGGUCACCUGUCAUGGAGGUAUUCUGCUGAAAGCUGUAUAACCGGAGUCCAGCGUCCGCAUAAUGGACACUUGUUUGUCCUGCCGCUGAUGGUUUAAUUAACUCUAUGUCCGUCCUCUGUGAAUUGUAAUGCUGUCCACAUUCAACAGAGCCACACCUGUAAAUGGACCUUUAAGCGCAGAUGUGUAGGUGCCUAAUGUCAGAACCUCAGCCCACAUGGUUAUUUUUUGGUCAAAUGUGGAGACGUUGUCUUUCAACUCGUGAAAAAUUACUAUUUAUUUUACGGUUAGCGCAUAUUUCAGGAAUCCCUCGUUUCUCUCAUCGGCAUGCCGGCGUUUAGCAAGAAUAAGUUCAUGCCUUUUAAAAACUAAUGAAGCAGCUUGGAUACAUUUGAUAUGUUGGGAGCAUUUCAAGCUGACAGCGUGAGGUAAAGAUCAGUUCACUUUUCUAUAGGGGGAGCUGAGCGCACUCAUCCUGGUGGUGAAAUGUCUGACAUGUUUGCACUGAGUUAGGACAGACAGGUCUGAAACCAAGUCCGGACUUGCAGGCAGAGAAAAAGCCCCUCAAUGCUCCCCCGUUUUUCCAAGGAGGCGAGUCCACCCCCCACCACCUCCCAAGGGUGACAGCUUCCUUCGUUCGUGCGGCCAUCACCUAUAUAGUAUUAAUUGACAUCCAUUGUCUAUUGUUUUCACAGAGACUGUUGCUCAUUUAAAUCAAUGCACAAGGAAGAAGCACGGUGAAAUGAAAAACAUUGUUUGCCAUCACAAAUGGUAGGAGAGAAGAGGGGAAGUGAACGAAGGUCAAAUAGAAAGCUUUAAAUUAAUGACUCGAGAAUUUAAUGUUUCACCACUUAUUGAGCCAAAGUAAAAAUCAUCUUCGUAUUAUUAAUAAAAAUAAUAUGAAUAGAGUAAGUUGAAAAUGGAUGGAAGGAUAUUAUUAUGUUAUAUAGAAAUAUAUUUCAUUAUAUUUAUGAAUUAAGAGUUAGGAUUUGCAACAAGUGGAAUUUUAUUUCUGAAACGUCAUAGUUAAAUGUCAACGCAUGGUAAAAUCUGUAUUGUGCAAGCUUUUAUUGGUCAAACCUAAAAACAAAACAUGAAAAUAGCUCAAAAAUCUGGUGUGCUAGAAAAAAGGGAAAAAAAUCAAUCAGCUUAAAAAAUAAAUAAAUAUAAUAGAUAUAACAAUAAUAAUAUAAAAAUAAUAAUAAUAGUAAUCUUUUGAAUAAAUUGUGGUUAUAAAUUUCAUUUUUAAUAUAUAUUUUUUUCCAUGUAGGUAUUUCACGUGAUAUGUAUUUUGAUUUCAUUUUUUCUGAAAGCAAAUCAAUCACAAAAUGACAUAUUUGAAUUAAAAUAUGUAUUACUGAAACUUAUUCUUCUUUAUUUUAUUCUAUUUUUCCAAUUUGUAUUGUAUUUUACUUUAACCAUUACCACCUACUGUCAGCCAUAUCGAUAUUUGUACCUUGCAGUUGUUUUGGUUUUGUGAAAAACCUGAUGUUGAAUAUAAUAACCGGAUAACCCAUGUCUUAUUUCAUUAUCCUUAAUAGUCAAUAUUGGCUGCGACCGGUUGCAUAAAUUCUACCUGCUGUAUUGUGACCAUAUUCAGGAACCUGAUACAUUGAAGAAGAUUAGGUGUCAAAUGCCCUCUAGUGGCCAUUGUAUGUAUGAACAAAGCCACGUACAAAAUAUAUUUCCAAGAACUGUGGUGUUGGAGUUUAGUUCGUGAAAACAUGCCAGUAACUACUUAAUUCCUCCUUUCAACUGAAAGGUGCCAAGAACACAUGAUGUAUUAUGAUUUACUAGUAAGAUUGAGAACCCAUGUUCUUUGUGAGUGUUGCGAUCAUAAUUAAAGAUAAGCCAUUGUGAUAUUAUUUUUCCGAAUAAAAAAAAUUCAGUGCCAUUGACUGAUUUCCCUGCAGGCCCAUAUCAAAUCUUCAGGUAAAUAUGGGUCCUGACAACUUCCUUCAAUGCUUGAAGUAUAAUAAAAUGUCAAGGAGAGUGUAAAUAGAGGGUAUGUUUUUUCAUUAUUUAUUUUUUAGAUAUAUUUUAAAUUCAUUACCCCAGCGUCAAUAUGAGCAAUGAGUAAAUGAUGAAGGGGGGGGCACACAGAACCACACACUUCCUUUUUAUUAUGAUUAUUCCUAUUUUUUUAGAAGCUCAUCUUGGUGUCAAAGAGCAUGUGCACCGUAAUCUGAUUCUCUCGAACUUGCAAUGAUUUGCAGCAAAUGUGACAGGAGUGUUCAAGUAUGCAUUUCACAUUAAAAGCCCCUCGACAUGUCAGAUUAACAAAUUGGCACUGUCUCGUUUUCUGUAUGCUUCGUUUUCUUUUUCUUUCAACAUAACUGAGCUCUCUGUGUGUUUUGAGUUCAUGUUAUUGUGGUGUCUAUGACAACCAAGCCGCACUUUUUCAUUUUGCAAAUGUCUUUGUAUCUUUAACCUAGCUGGGAAACAUUCAGAAUUUCUUUUUGACUGUUGUGUAUAGGGGACAUCAAAAUAAAAUCAUCAAGUGUCUCAUCCCAAAACUUAA